Molecule: ribosomal RNA, 479 nt
Filed under: uncultured bacterium
Lineage: Bacteria
Description: partial 16S ribosomal RNA
Rfam family: Bacterial small subunit ribosomal RNA
Source: RNAcentral
GAUGAACGCUAGCGGGAGGCCUAACACAUGCAAGCCGAGCGGUAGAGUUUCUUCGGAAACUUGAGAGCGGCGCACGGGUGCGUAACACGUGUGCAACCUACCUUUAUCUGGGGGAUAGCCUUUCGAAAGGAAGAUUAAUACCCCAUAAUAUAAUGAUUGGCAUCAAUUAUUAUUGAAAACUCCGGUGGAUAGAGAUGGGCACGCGCAAGAUUAGAUAGUUGGUGAGGUAACGGCCCACCAAGUCAAUGAUCUUUAGGGGUCCUGAGAGGGAGAUCCCCCACACUGGUACUGAGACACGGACCAGACUCCUACGGGAGGCAGCAGUGAGGAAUAUUGGACAAUGGGUGAGAGCCUGAUCCAGCCAUCCCGCGUGAAGGAGGACGGUCCUAUGGAUUGUAAACUUCUUUUGUACAGGGAUAAACCUACCCUCGUGAGGGUAGCUGAAGGUACUGUACGAAUAAGCACCGGCUAACUCCGUG